AUCUGAUCUAAAGGCUCUAAGUUGGAACCAUUGUUUCAUACCUGAGCCAUUUUGAUCUAGAUUAGCAUUCGGGGACCCUCCGUGCUGUUUGAUAUUCCGUGAUCUAGCAUUGUUUGAUUAUUAUACAAGAAUUCAAAGCAAUCUCAGGUAUGCCCAUUGUGAAAUGAUGCAUAGGACAUAUCAAGACAUACUUAGGCGGACCUGUGCCAUAGUGACUUAAAACGAGACAAGAACUAGUUAAUUUAUGUUAUGUACUCUUUGGUUCUUGUUUAAACAAUGUAUACUUUCAUAUUUGAUUAAUAAAACCAAAAUUC
Molecule: long non-coding RNA, 314 nt
Filed under: Helianthus annuus (common sunflower)
Lineage: Eukaryota; Viridiplantae; Streptophyta; Magnoliopsida; Asterales; Asteraceae
Description: hypothetical non coding rna
Source: RNAcentral